CCUACGGGGGGCAGCAGUGAGGAAUAUUGGUCAAUGGGAGAGAUCCUGAACCAGCCAAGCCGCGUGAGGGAAGACGGCCCUAUGGGUUGUAAACCUCUUUUGUCGGAGAACAAAACCCGGGACGUGUCCCGGACUGCGUGUAUCCGAAGAAAAAGCAUCGGCUAACUCCGUGCCAGCAGCCGCGGUAAUACGGAGGAUGCGAGCGUUAUCCGGAUUUAUUGGGUUUAAAGGGUGCGUAGGCGGUUUGAUAAGUUAGAGGUGAAAUACCGGUGCUCAACACCGGAACUGCCUCUAAUACUGUUGAA
RNAcentral lists this ribosomal RNA (305 nucleotides) under uncultured bacterium. RNAcentral describes it as "bacterial SSU rRNA". It matches the Rfam family "Bacterial small subunit ribosomal RNA", at positions 338 to 640 of the family's 1533-position model. The record is from RNAcentral.